GGAUUGUUCACCCACCAAUAGGGAACGUGAGCUGGGUUUAGACUGUCGUGAGACAGGAUAGUUUUACCCUACUGAUGACAGUGUCGCAAUAGUAAUUCAACCUAGUACAAGAGGAACCGUUGAUUCGCACAAUUGGUCAUCGCACUUGGUUGAAAAGCCAGUGGCGCGAAGCUACCGUGCGCUGGAUUAUGACUGAACGCCUCUAAGUCAGAAUCCAGGCUAGAAGCGACGCAUGCGCCCGCCGUCCACUUGCCGACCAGCUGUAGGGGUCAUCCGGCCCUCAAAGGCACGUGUCAUUGGUGAAGUAGAAUUCCUAUCUCGAGCGGCGGGUAGAAUCCUCUGCAGACGACUUAAAUACGUGACGGGGUAUUGUAAGUGGCAGAGUGGCCUUGCUACCACGAUCCAGUGAGAUUCAGCCCUGCGUCGCUCCGAUUCGUCCCUCCC
RNAcentral lists this ribosomal RNA (444 nucleotides) under Camellia sinensis. RNAcentral describes it as "eukaryotic LSU rRNA". It matches the Rfam family "Eukaryotic large subunit ribosomal RNA", at positions 2926 to 3401 of the family's 3401-position model. Lineage: Eukaryota; Viridiplantae; Streptophyta; Magnoliopsida; Ericales; Theaceae. The record is from RNAcentral.